This is a long non-coding RNA of Gallus gallus (chicken), 521 nucleotides long. NCBI's taxonomy places the organism in Eukaryota, Metazoa, Chordata, Aves, Galliformes, Phasianidae. The record is from Ensembl.
UCAAAAUGCCUGGAAAUAGUACAGUGGUUUGACCAAGAUGACCAGGAGUCCUGGAAAAGGCAGAGAGAAGAAGAGGACCUGGUGAAAACUAGGAGAAUAUUGUAAUUGUACUAUUUGUUUGUCUGCUAUGAUGUUACUCUAUUCUGAUUCCAGUAUCUGAAGACAGUUCACUUGUGGAAGAGUUAAACACUCGUCUAAUUUGGGAUCUACACUACAGUCUGGGGCUGUGAUGAAACCACUGUUCAGUGUUGCAGAUGCCUGUCAGGAAUUCUAGGACAGCAAAAGGCAGAUGAAUCAACCUAUCCAGCUUACCUUCUAUUUUUGCUGGUUGCUGUGGCCCUUCAUGAACUGGGACAAAAUUCAUCCUACAGAAGACGUAAGACAAUGUCACAGGGCAUGCACUCUGAGUGAGUCACUGGGAGGUCAUGGUGCUUCCCGUUCACUCUAUUGUCCAGUGGGACAGAAAGAAAGAAAGGAGGACUUCGAUGUUAUUCCUAAAAUGCAGGAGUAAUUGCUCAGAC